UAAACCCAUGUGAACCUACCUUUGUUGCCUCGGCAGGUCUGCAACUUACCCUGAGGGGACCUACCCUGUAGGGACCUUACCCGGUAGUUGCCGGCAUAACCUGCCGGUGGUCUACUAAACUCUGUUUACUAUGUUAUUCUGAAUAAUAUAACUAAAUAAGUUAAAACUUUCAACAACGGAUCUCUUGGUUCUGGCAUCGAUGAAGAACGCAGCGAAAUGCGAUAAGUAAUGUGAAUUGCAGAAUUCAGUGAAUCAUCGAAUCUUUGAACGCACAUUGCGCCCAUUAGUAUUCUAGUGGGCAUGCCUGUUCGAGCGUCAUUUCAACCCUUAAGCCCUGUUGCUUAGCGUUGGGAGCCUACAGAUACCCUCUGUAGUUCCUUAAAGUUAGUGGCGGAGUCGGUUUCACACUCUAGACGUAGUAAAUUUUAUCUCGCCUAUAGAUGAGCCGGUCCCUUGCCGUAAAACCCCCUAAUUUCUAAAGGUUGACCUCGGAUCAGGUAGGAAUACCCGCUGAACUUAAGCAUAUCAAUAAGCGGAGGA
RNAcentral lists this ribosomal RNA (540 nucleotides) under Xylaria venosula. Its description in RNAcentral is "eukaryotic LSU rRNA". The stretch from base 165 to 318 matches the Rfam family "5.8S ribosomal RNA". The record is from RNAcentral. Lineage: Eukaryota; Fungi; Ascomycota; Sordariomycetes; Xylariales; Xylariaceae.